CUGACUGUCUGUCCGGCGUGCGGGGUAAGAUGGUGGGGGCUGGGGUUGUUGGGAAUUACGGGGGGGACAGCGCGGGUAGGAGGCCAUGCAAGUGAGGCGUGAAAGGCCGUGGCUCAACCUGGGAAAUGCGCUUCAGACUGAACGGCUUGAGUACGGCAGAGGGUGGUGGAAUUCACAGUGUAGAGGUGAAAUUCGUAGAUAUUGGGAGGAACACCAGUGGCGAAGGCGGCCACCUGGCCCGGUACUGACGAUCAAGUGCGAAAGCGUGGGGAGCAAACAGGAUUAGAUACCCGUGUAGUC
Molecule: ribosomal RNA, 300 nt
Filed under: uncultured Halococcus sp.
Lineage: Archaea; Methanobacteriati; Methanobacteriota; Halobacteria; Halobacteriales; Halococcaceae
Description: bacterial SSU rRNA
Rfam family: Bacterial small subunit ribosomal RNA
Source: RNAcentral